AUGUGUCCAUUCUCUGGCAAAAAAAAAAAAUGGGUCGGAGCAGAAGUUGUAGACAACAGCAAAAGAGAAUGGCGAGCAAAAGAGACGAUUAUGUUCACGCAAUUGCAAGGAAUGGAGAUGCCACCACUAUUGAAUUGAUCAUCUGUUCUAACACUUUAGCUACCAAUUCCAGAGAUAAGCAUUCCAGAACCCCGUAUCCUAUUUCUCUCUCUUUAUUCAAUUGUUGGCAGUUUUUUCUGGAUUGAGAUUGAAUUUUACUGCAUUUAGUUGAACUUGAGUGUUCUAUUAUGUUUAAUAGCUCCUUAUAUUUUUUCUGGUUUGGCUGUAAUUUUGUUGUCUAACUUGAUGAUCUAUCUCUGCUCUUCAUUGAGAAAUCAAAUUGCCGAUGUCUGACUUGUUAGAUCUCUUCACUAGCAGGUUGUUGAAAUUACUGGAUUAAUCUUGACAAAACUCGUUGGUUCCGCUAGGGGUGGUUGUGUGGUCAGCGUGGUAGAUGAGCAAUCGUGAUUAUUGAAGGGAGGAGAUGAAGAUUUUAGAUAACCGAUUUUAGAGGACUUUCAAUAAAUUAAUGCAUGGAAAAUCAAACAAUAUUACAAUGGCAACCGAAAACUCUUGUGUGGAGUACAUAUAUAGUGUUUCAAUGGAGAGAUGCAACUGGUUGGGUGCCUAAUACCUGUGGCACUUAUUGACCUUAUUACAAGCACGAGAAUACGGGUUUGCGACAUAAUCCCCAAUUUUAGCUUUUGGAUCUGCUCCGCAAUGCGGAGGAGGACGGAGUGUCUUGCAUGGAUCGAGGUUUAUAUAAUGCUUUCCUUUAACUUCUGCAUUUGCGACUAGUUGGUUGUUUGUUAUUAGCGCCAUGCUCAUUAUCAAACUCAAAUACACCACUAAUAUAUGCUUCAUUUUAUAAUUUGAGGAAAAUAAAAUCAAAUAUGUUUAGCUAGAUUUAAUUUUCCUUAGAAAAUUAUGUUUUGAUUUUUUGAAAUUUAAAAGAAAUAUCCGUUCUAUUUAUUACUUCGUACAAAACAUUACAUUGUUUUGUUUGGGGGAUAAACUCUGUUUGUUUUGUAUCCACACGUUUUAGAAGGUCUAAAAUUAGAAAAAUAAAAAUUUAAUUAUAGGAAAUUAUUUUCAGAAAGUACCUAUCCUUUUUCACACCAUUACCACAGGUUUUUCUCUAUAAUAACUCGAGCAUAUCUUAUUGGUAAGGAUGAUAUACCUGCCACCUCAAAUAAUAUACCUGAUUCUAGUUGAGGCAACACUAGCUAAAACUACGCUGCACAACAAGGUAUUAUUUCCCAUGUAACUGCCUACUUGGUGUUUGUUACAACUUACAAGGAUGACACAUCAGCCACAUAUUACGGAGUAGUUGAUUAAUAAAUAAUUAAUGCUCUUUUCCUAUUUAUCCUAGCAGGUUAUUACUUGUAAUCUAGCCAGUAGUAUAAAUAGGAUAUUUUGUCCUAAUAGUUGACUAUUCAUUUUUGGUCUUCAUUAACUUGUAAUCAGAGAGCACUUUCUCUCUCCUAUCCCCCUCCCAUUAUUGAAGUAUUAUCUUUGAGCUAUGAGCCUAAGGUUUUGGCGAUAAAUUAUGUUUGAUUUCUUCUUUGUGUUAAUGAUUCUGCAAAUGAUAUUGAUUAAUAAAUCAUUCAUGCUCUUUUCUUAUUUAUCGAUCUUAGCAGGUUAUUAGUUGUAAUCUAGCAAUACUAUAAAUAGGAUAUUUUGUCCUGCUGCUAGAAAAACUAAGUUAUCCUUCCCACAUAGCACAAUUAAAACUACCAAACCAUUUGAGAUUCCACAUGUAGAUGUUCGGGGGCCUUACAAAGCUGAGACUCUUAAUGGUUGUACGUACUGUGUUCUUGACAAUAAUGGAUGAUCGAUCACCUUAUAGCCCCGCUCAGUUUCUUUAUAGGUAUCUCUCAUUGAAAAAAUCGAUUUCCCCCUCUGUUUCAGUUAUAGUGUUUGAGCUACUACUAUAAUUUAGUAUGUUAUAUAUUUGAAUAACGUACCAUUUUGAUAGAAUAUUUGAAUAAGAUAUUGGUUUCAUUGUCUGAUUAGUAAUUUGUGAGGAUUUUGUGAAUUUGAGUAUUGAUGGAUUAAUGGAUUACUAAGAUCAGAACUGAAACUGCAUCUCUGAAGAAUAGCUCAGUUCCUCCAGGUGAGCGACCCAAGUGCAGAAUGAGCUAGUGACUAAUUUGACAAGUAAUGUUGAACAACUCUCUUCGAAAAAUUUGGAACAAGCGAAGGAGAUUGAAGAAACAAAGGUAGUCCUAGUUGAAACAACAACAAAGCUCGAUGAAACAGAAAAAAAACUUGAUGAAACAACAAGACAACUUAAAGAAACAACAGAUGCUAUGAAGGCUAUGCAAGCUCAGAUUCUUUUUCUAACUGAAAAUGUCAUUUUGCGCCAAUCUUGAAUGUUGGUUAUCAGAAGAAAUUGCAUUGCUUUGUGUUAUUUUUAGCUUGAUUAAAAAUAUUUGGACAAUUAGUUUAGCGUAGACUUUUUUUCCGUAGUGAAAGCAGGUAAACAACUCUCAUAUUUAGGUGGAUUACAGGUUAUAUAUUGCAUAUAUAUGCAAUUUUUUGGGAUGAAACUUCUUUUGUAGGCUUUGAAUUGAUCUUUUAAUGAAAGUUUUUAUUAUUUAA
Long non-coding RNA from Spinacia oleracea (spinach), 2643 nucleotides. RefSeq lists it as uncharacterized. The transcript is spliced from 3 exons. The record is from RefSeq and is a predicted model, not a curated record. NCBI's taxonomy places the organism in Eukaryota, Viridiplantae, Streptophyta, Magnoliopsida, Caryophyllales, Amaranthaceae.